GAUGAAGAACGCAGCGAAAUGCGAUAAGUAGUGUGAAUUGCAGAAUUCAGUGAAUCAUCGAAUCUUUGAACGCACAUUGCGCCCCUCGGUAUUCCGUGGGGCAUGCCUGUUCGAGCGUCAUUUACCCCUCAAGCACUGCUUGGUGUUGGGCGUCUGUCCCGCUUCGCGCGCGGACUCGCCCCAAAGGUAUUGGCAGCGGUCGUGCCAGCUUCUCGCGCAGCACAUUGCGCUUCUCGAGGCGGUCGAUCGGCGUCCACGAAGCUCACCUCCACCGUUUGACCUCGGAUCAGGCAGGGAUACCCGCUGAACUUAAGCAUAUCAAUAAGCGGAGGA
This 333-nucleotide unclassified non-coding RNA is filed under the name soil metagenome. RNAcentral's name for it is "partial contains 5.8S ribosomal RNA, internal transcribed spacer 2, and large subunit ribosomal RNA". The stretch from base 1 to 120 matches the Rfam family "5.8S ribosomal RNA", at positions 35 to 154 of the family's 154-position model. The record is from RNAcentral.